This is a small nucleolar RNA of Cryptomeria japonica (Japanese cedar), 70 nucleotides long. RefSeq annotates it as small nucleolar RNA Z105. The transcript has a single exon. Lineage: Eukaryota; Viridiplantae; Streptophyta; Pinopsida; Cupressales; Cupressaceae. The record is from RefSeq and is a predicted model, not a curated record.
UGGGCAUAGUGAGGAAUUAAUUAUCUGAGAGUUUUCCUUGAUGAGGAAAGUAUCCUCCUACUCAUUCUGA